CGCGGCCACCUCGCACAUGCCUCACUUCAGUCCGGAGCAGCACACGACCGCCGACGUCGUUCGGCAGGCCAUCAUACCGGCCUCUGCCGCUGAGGCCCGCGCCUACGCUGAGGUGCUUCCAGGCGGGCCCCUGCGGCCAGACCGGAUGGUGACCCAUGCUUGGGGUGGCCUC
This 172-nucleotide non-coding RNA is filed under the name Alexandrium tamarense. The record is from RNAcentral. Lineage: Eukaryota; Dinophyceae; Gonyaulacales; Pyrocystaceae.